Molecule: ribosomal RNA, 253 nt
Filed under: uncultured bacterium
Lineage: Bacteria
Description: partial 16S ribosomal RNA
Rfam family: Bacterial small subunit ribosomal RNA
Source: RNAcentral
UACGUAGGGGGCAAGCGUUGUCCGGAUUUAUUGGGCGUAAAGAGCGUGUAGGCGGCUUUACAGGUCCGUUGUGAAAACUCGAGGCUCAACCUCGAGACGCCGGUGGAAACCGUAAGGCUAGAGUCCGGAAGAGGAGAAUGGAAUUCCUGGUGUAGCGGUGAAAUGCGCAGAUAUCAGGAAGAACACCCGUGGCGAAGGCGGUUCUCUGGGACGGUACUGACGCUGAGACGCGAAAGCGUGGGGAGCGAACAGG